RNAcentral lists this transfer RNA (81 nucleotides) under Rathayibacter iranicus. RNAcentral describes it as "tRNA-Leu". It matches the Rfam family "tRNA". From Rfam's summary of the family: Transfer RNA (tRNA) molecules are approximately 80 nucleotides in length. Their secondary structure includes four short double-helical elements and three loops (D, anti-codon, and T loops). Further hydrogen bonds mediate the characteristic L-shaped molecular structure. tRNAs have two regions of fundamental functional importance: the anti-codon, which is responsible for specific mRNA codon recognition, and the 3' end, to which the tRNAs corresponding amino acid is attached (by aminoacyl-tRNA synthetases). tRNAs cope with the degeneracy of the genetic code in two manners: having more than one tRNA (with a specific anti-codon) for a particular amino acid; and 'wobble' base-pairing, i.e. permitting non-standard base-pairing at the 3rd anti-codon position. Lineage: Bacteria; Bacillati; Actinomycetota; Actinomycetes; Micrococcales; Microbacteriaceae. The record is from RNAcentral. RNAcentral also lists the same sequence under 4 other names.
GCGGGAGUGGUGAAAUGGCAGACACGCAGGAUUUAGGUUCCUGUGCCGAAAGGCGUGAGGGUUCGAGUCCCUCCUUCCGCA